RNAcentral lists this ribosomal RNA (441 nucleotides) under Staphylococcus epidermidis. Its description in RNAcentral is "bacterial SSU rRNA". It matches the Rfam family "Bacterial small subunit ribosomal RNA", at positions 67 to 489 of the family's 1533-position model. Lineage: Bacteria; Bacillati; Bacillota; Bacilli; Caryophanales; Staphylococcaceae. The record is from RNAcentral.
CGAACAGACGAGGAGCUUGCUCCUCUGACGUUUAGCGGCGGACGGGUGAGUAACACGUGGAUAACCUACCUAUAAGACUGGGAUAACUUCGGGAAACCGGAGCUAAUACCGGAUAAUAUAUUGAACCGCAUGGUUCAAUAGUGAAAGACGGUUUUGCUGUCACUUAUAGAUGGAUCCGCGCCGCAUUAGCUAGUUGGUAAGGUAACGGCUUACCAAGGCAACGAUGCGUAGCCGACCUGAGAGGGUGAUCGGCCACACUGGAACUGAGACACGGUCCAGACUCCUACGGGAGGCAGCAGUAGGGAAUCUUCCGCAAUGGGCGAAAGCCUGACGGAGCAACGCCGCGUGAGUGAUGAAGGUCUUCGGAUCGUAAAACUCUGUUAUUAGGGAAGAACAAAUGUGUAAGUAACUAUGCACGUCUUGACGGUACCUAAUCAGAAA